Diachasma alloeum is the source of this 661-nucleotide long non-coding RNA. RefSeq lists it as uncharacterized. Lineage: Eukaryota; Metazoa; Arthropoda; Insecta; Hymenoptera; Braconidae. The transcript is spliced from 3 exons. The record is from RefSeq and is a predicted model, not a curated record.
AAACUGUGGUUCCAUUCCUUCGUACUUUAUUAUUAGCAAGGGCUGUUUUUAUUUUCUUUUCACAAUUUUCUCCUCCUCUUGUACGGUCUCCAUCCAACACUCGAGGGCUCCCCUCCUUCAUUCUGGUGCUCCGUAGAGACUAGCCCUCUCUCGCACGAAUCCUUCUUCUGGCACACGUGGAGAAAAAUUGCAUCUGACACAGUAGCAGGGUCCAAGCGGUGAGAGGUCCAAUGGUGAAAAGUUCGGACCUUUCACUUGGAGUUUGAUUGACACAUCCUCGCUCUAACUCAUCAUCCAAGUGUCUGAACAAAGUCUACGGGCGUUGGGUAUACGGCUGAGUCCUACAACCGUACGGUCCAUCAGAGAAAGGCAGAAAAGCAUGGCUGCAGGGGCGAGGAGUCGAGUGAGGAAAAAAAGUAACCGAAGCGAAAAAUUGACCAAGAAGAUCGCCUUCGAAACUUCAAUAUACUGACGGUAUGUUUGUUUUCUGGUGGGCGGGUCCCAGGGGCCAAGAGCGCACGCGCGGGAUUCUCCGGGCCCAAGCUGCAAGUCACGAGCCAACAAUACUACAAAUAAUAACAAACCAGAGGCCUGUGAUGUUCGAAGAUGAAAAAAAAAACGGCUGAAAAACAGAGAGGCAUCUUCUUAACCGGCUUGUGGC